Molecule: ribosomal RNA, 301 nt
Filed under: uncultured bacterium
Lineage: Bacteria
Description: partial 16S ribosomal RNA
Rfam family: Bacterial small subunit ribosomal RNA
Source: RNAcentral
CAGCAGCCACGGUAAUACGGAGGGUGCAAGCGUUAAUCGGAAUUACUGGGCGUAAAGCGCACGCAGGCGGUCUGACAAGUCAGAUGUGAAAUCCCCGGGCUUAACCUGGGAACUGCAUUUGAAACUGUCAGGCUGGAGUCUUGUAGAGGGGGGUAGAAUUCCAGGUGUAGCGGUGAAAUGCGUAGAGAUCUGGAGGAAUACCGGUGGCGAAGGCGGCCCCCUGGACAAAGACUGACGCUCAGGUGCGAAAGCGUGGGGAGCAAACAGGAUUAGAGACCCGCGUAGUCCCUGUCUCUUAUAA